GUAGUUAGCCGGGGCUUUCUUACAGGGUACCGUCACUUCUUCGUCCCCUGCGACAGAGGUUUACAAUCCGAAAACCUUCUUCCCUCACGCGGCGUUGCUGGGUCAGGCUUGCGCCCAUUGCCCAAUAUUCCCCACUGCUGCCUCCCGUAGGAGUCUGGACCGUGUCUCAGUUCCAGUGUGGCCGAUCAGCCUCUCAGCUCGGCUACCCAUCGUCGGCUUGGUGGGCUGUUAUCUCACCAACUACCUAAUGGGACGCGAACCCCUCUAAAAAGCGAUAAAUCUUUGACCUCUUCCCGAUGCCGGGUUGUGGUCUUAUGCGGUAUUAGCAGUUGUUUCCACCUGUUAUUCCCCACUCUUAGGCAGGUUGUUCACGCGUUACUCACCCGUGCGCCACUAGAAUUAUCAAUUCCAUCCGAAAACUUCCUUAAUAAUCCCCGUUCGACUUGCAUGUGUUAGGCACGCCGCCAGCGUGUCUCUAGCGACGAUACGACCGUACCGACGUACGUACGACGGACGGUACGGCGACGGACGGACGGACGUACGACGA
This 547-nucleotide ribosomal RNA is filed under the name uncultured bacterium. RNAcentral's name for it is "partial 16S ribosomal RNA". The record is from RNAcentral.